GACGAACGCUGGCGGCGUGCUUAACACAUGCAAGUCGAACGGAAAGGCCCUGCUUUUGUGGGGUGCUCGAUUGGCGAACGGGUGAGUAACACGUGAGUAUCCUGCCCUUGACUUUGGGAUAACUUCAGGAAACUGGGGCUAAUACCGGAUAGGAGCUCCUGCUGCAUGGUGGGGGUUGGAAAGUUUCGGCGGUUGGGGAUGGACUCGCGGCUUAUCAGCUUGUUGGUGGGGUAGUGGCUUACCAAGGCUUUGACGGGUAGCCGGCCUGAGAGGGUGACCGGCCACAUUGGGACUGAGAUACGGCCCAGACUCCUACGGGAGGCAGCAGUGGGGAAUAUUGCACAAUGGGCGGAAGCCUGAUGCAGCAACGCCGCGUGCGGGAUGACGGCCCUCGGGUUGUAAACCGCUUUCGCCUGUGACGAAGCGUGAGUGACGGUAAUGGGUAAAGAAGCACCGGCUAACUACGUG
RNAcentral lists this ribosomal RNA (468 nucleotides) under uncultured bacterium. Its description in RNAcentral is "partial 16S ribosomal RNA". It matches the Rfam family "Bacterial small subunit ribosomal RNA", at positions 28 to 507 of the family's 1533-position model. The record is from RNAcentral.